RNAcentral lists this ribosomal RNA (772 nucleotides) under uncultured Neocallimastigales. Its description in RNAcentral is "partial large subunit ribosomal RNA". It matches the Rfam family "Eukaryotic large subunit ribosomal RNA", at positions 24 to 635 of the family's 3401-position model. Lineage: Eukaryota; Fungi; Neocallimastigomycota; Neocallimastigomycetes; Neocallimastigales. The record is from RNAcentral.
GUAGUCUCGCACAGAUGCAUAUCAAUAAGCGGAGGAAAAGAAACUAACAAGGAUUCCCUCAGUAACGGCGAGUGAAGCGGGAAGAGCUCAAAUUUGAAAUCUUGAAAGGUCACCUUUCACGAAUUGUAGUUUAAAGAAGUGUUUUCUGUUACGAUCGUAAUAUAAGUUCUUUGGAAUAGGACAUCACAGAGGGUGAGAAUCCCGUCUAUGAUUGCGAUUUGUAGCUUUGUGAUACACUUUCAAAGAGUCGGGUUGUUUGGGAAUGCAGCCCAAAACGGGAGGUAAAUUUCUUCUAAGGCUAAAUAUUGGCGAGAGACCGAUAGCGAACAAGUACCGUGAGGGAAAGAUGAAAAGAACUUUGAAAAGAGAGUUAAAUAGUACGUGAAAUUGUCAAAAGGGAAGCGUUUAACACCAGUGUUGUUUUCUGAAAAUCAACCUCUGUUAGCUUUAUGCAUGUUUGUUUAGACCUAAUCAGCUAUCUUGCAUGUUCUAUUGUUUGCAGUGGUGCACUUUUCAGUUUACAGGUCAACAUCAGUUUUUUUUACCGUAAAAAAGUUAAAGAAAGGUAGCUCAUGGCUCCGGUCGUGAGUGUUAUAGUCUUUUUCCUAUGCGGUAGGAGAGACUGAGGUCUGCAGUGUAGGCUAUUUGGCUAGAUACUCAGGUGCUUAUGUGAUACCAUUUCAUAAACAACUUGUUGAUUAUGUUUUGUCUAUUGCAUACUCGCUUGUACUAUCAUACCUACGCUUAGGAUGUUGAAGAUGUAGCACAUCAU